GCCUGGGUAGCUCAGACGGUAGAGCAUCAUACUUUUAAUCUGAGGGUCCAGGGUUCAAGUCCCUGUUCAGGCG
This 73-nucleotide transfer RNA is filed under the name Merluccius polli (Benguela hake). It matches the Rfam family "tRNA". From Rfam's summary of the family: Transfer RNA (tRNA) molecules are approximately 80 nucleotides in length. Their secondary structure includes four short double-helical elements and three loops (D, anti-codon, and T loops). Further hydrogen bonds mediate the characteristic L-shaped molecular structure. tRNAs have two regions of fundamental functional importance: the anti-codon, which is responsible for specific mRNA codon recognition, and the 3' end, to which the tRNAs corresponding amino acid is attached (by aminoacyl-tRNA synthetases). tRNAs cope with the degeneracy of the genetic code in two manners: having more than one tRNA (with a specific anti-codon) for a particular amino acid; and 'wobble' base-pairing, i.e. permitting non-standard base-pairing at the 3rd anti-codon position. Lineage: Eukaryota; Metazoa; Chordata; Actinopteri; Gadiformes; Merlucciidae. The record is from Rfam by way of RNAcentral.